RNAcentral lists this long non-coding RNA (254 nucleotides) under Homo sapiens (human). RNAcentral describes it as "non-protein coding lnc-GPR180-5:1". The record is from RNAcentral. Lineage: Eukaryota; Metazoa; Chordata; Mammalia; Primates; Hominidae.
GUUUGAAAUAUCUGUGUCAUGUGGUAGAGAAUACUGUAUUUGGUGACUUUCUACAUAGUACCUAUGGGCUCUGACACACAUUUUGCAGGUAGUGUGAGAUAUUCUUGUGAAAGGUAUAUGUACAAAAUGCUUCUUUUACAUAUUUUGCCAACAGUAUACAUUUAUUCCCCAAUGCUAAUGGAUUCUCUGGCUUCAGGACAGAAACUAAAACACAUUCAUUAUGUACUGCUACAGAGUGAACCUCAUGCAGUAAA